Populus euphratica (Euphrates poplar) is the source of this 3697-nucleotide RNA transcript. It is a transcript of the gene named probable disease resistance protein At4g27220, with no coding region annotated. The record is from RefSeq and is a predicted model, not a curated record. NCBI's taxonomy places the organism in Eukaryota, Viridiplantae, Streptophyta, Magnoliopsida, Malpighiales, Salicaceae. The transcript is spliced from 3 exons.
CUAUUCAAUCUCUCCGUUGCUGUGCUCAUGCAUUUUCAGAACAAGCUUUUUCAAUGGGGGUGGGUCCACACGUUAACUCACUGAAGCUCAAUAAUUGGCUUCUCCUUCCUUUGUUGAAGUUUUUAGUUAUAUGCAGCACUAAUCAAAAUAAAUAAAUUAAAUUAAAUUAAAAGGAACCAGCUUAACCUAUACUCUUCUCUGAUUUGUGCUUCUUCUUCUUCUGAAUACUGCCUCAGCAAACCAGCACUUGAAGAACAUCGAUCAAUAGCUGAAUCCAGAGCCACUGAUCAAAAUGCUUCGACGGGAUGGUCCGGUUUUGCAUCGUGUUGACACAUCUUUUUGGGAAUAUGUUGAAAAGAUGGAUGAUCGUAGCAUGAGGUGUAAGUUUUGUGGGCAUUUUUUUGCCGAAGGUACUUCCAUUACGAGGAUCAAACACCACUUGUCAGGAAGGAAACGUGGUGGUGCUAAAAAUUGUGCACAAGUGCCUCAAAAUGUCCAGGAUGCAGCCCUUGCAGCAAUUGAUGGCCCUCCAGCAAAAAAACCUAAACCUCUAGGUGGCUCAAGCAAUAACGAGGUCACUAAUGCAAUUUCAGCUUCAGCACAACAACAGAACAAUGAAAUGAUGAUGGCACACCAACGAGAAGAUCUUUCGCUCGAAGACAUGGAGCUUCAGGAGAGAGGCGCAACAGAAAGAUUAGCGCAGCCUGGCGUAGGUGGAAGCUCUUCUGGACUCAAUGUGAAUCAUACUGCCAUUUCAACCAGUCCACAAGAACAAAACAAUGAAGUCUACAAUUUGACAGGAGAUGGAACAAGUAUACAAGCACGAGAUAUGUAUGAAAAAAGCUGGGUGGAGAUAAUUAAUUCGUUAAUGGAUGAUGGUAUGCAGAAUACGAUUGGAGUAGCGCAGCCUGGCGCAGGAGCUAGCUCUUCUGGAGUCCUUAAAUACAACCCAAGUGAGACGAGAGGAGCUCCUCUACCAACUGGCUCUACAAAGCUAGUGGGUCGAGCAUUUGAAGAGAAUAAAAAUGUGAUAUGGUCUUGGUUGAUGGAUGAUAAAGUCUCUAUCAUUAGCAUUUGUGGGAUGGGAGGAGCUGGCAAAACCACAAUGCUAAAACAUAUCUAUAACGAACUUCUACUAGCAGAUAUUUCUCAUCAUGUUUACUGGGUGACCGUGUCUCAAAAUUUCAGCAUUCUUACAAUGCAGAAGAAGAUCGCAAAACGUAUAAAGUUAUCUCUUUCCAAUGAAGAGGAGGAGGAGCACAUAGCUGCGGAAUUGUCAUUAGAACUAAUGAAGAAACAAAAAUGGAUUUUAAUUUUAGAUGAUUUGUGGAACUCAUUUGAGCUACACGAAGUGGGAAUUCCCGUCCCAUUAAAAGGAUGCAAGCUAAUUAUGACAACUCGAUCAAAAGAGGUUUGUGGACGAAUGGAUUGCCGAAACAAUAUCAUAGUGAAUCCUCUUUCUGAUGUAGAUGCUUGGACUUUGUUCAGGGAGAUCCUUGGACAUGACACACAUCUCUCUACAGAAGUGGAACAAAUUGCAAAAUCUAUCACAAAGGAGUGUGAUGGUUUGCCGCUAGGAAUUAAAACAAUGGCUGGAACCAUGAAGGUGGUGGAUGGCAUACACGGGUGGAGUAAUGCUUUAGAACGACUGAGACAAUCAAGAGUUGGGCCAAAUGGCAUGGAAAGGGUAUUUUCAUCAUUGAGAUUUAGUUACACGCACCUAAGCAAUGAAGCUAUGCAAAAAUGUUUCUUGUAUUGUGCAUUAUUUCCAGAAGACUCUGCUAUCAAUAGACUGGAAUUGAUACUUUAUUUGAUUGAUAUGGGAGUGAUACAAGGGCUGACGAGUAGGAAGGCAGAAUUUGAUGAAGGCCAUUCCAUGCUUGAUAAACUUGAAAAAGUCUGCCUAUUGGAAAGAAAACGUCUUGGUGGUGCUGUAAUGAUGCAUGACUUGAUUAGGGACAUGGCCAUCCAAAUACUGGAAGAGAACUCUAGAGCCAUUGUUAAAGCCGGUGCACAAUUAAAAGAAUUGCCGGAUACAGAGGAGUGGACAGACAAACUUACGACCGUUUCACUAAUGCACAACCAAAUUGAAGAGAUUUGUUCCAGCCAUUCAGUGAGGUGUCCAAAUCUGUCAACCUUAUUGCUGUGUAGUAAUCAUAGGUUGCGAUUCAUUGCGGGUUCAUUUUUCGAGCAAAUGCAUGGGCUCAAGGUCCUCGAUCUGUCUGAAACAGCUAUUGAAUGUUUGCCUGAUUCUGUCUCUGAUUUGGUGGGUCUCACUUCACUGUUGCUCAAACAUUGUCGGAGGUUAAGCCGUGUACCAACAUUGAAAAAGCUCAGGGCACUGAAGAGGUUAGAUCUCGCUCGUGCUCCACUUGAAGAGAUUCCUCAUGGCAUGGAAUGUCUAUCCAGCCUGAGGUAUCUAAGAAUGAAUGGAUGUGGUGAAAAUAAGUUUCCCUGUGGGAUAUUACCUAAACUCUCUCACCUGCAAGUCUUUAAACUAGAGGAACAGAUUCUUAGUGAUCGUAGAUGGGGGGAAACAAGUAUGCAGGUGGAAAGAUAUGCUCCAGUAACAGUUGAAGGAAAGGAAGUAGGAUGCUUGAGGAAGUUGGAAAGUUUGGAAUGCCAUUUUGAAGAUCACUCUAACUACGUGGAGUAUUUCAAAUCUCGGGAUGAGACCCAAUCACUAAGCACAUACAAAAUUGCUAUAGGACAGUUCAGGGAAGACGAAUUUAGGGAAUUAAAGUACAGUGGUCCCGGAAGUAAAAUGGUUGUGUUGGGUAAUUUGAAUAUCAAUAAAGAUGGAGAUUUUCAGGUCAUCUCCUCAAAUGACAUUCAACAACUAAUUUGUGAAUGUAUCAAUGCGAGAAGUUUAGGCGAUGUUUUGUCAUUAAAGUAUGCAACUGAACUGGAGUAUAUCAAGAUUUUGAAUUGCAAUAGCAUGGAGAGCUUGGUUUCAUCUUCUUGGUUAUGCUCUGCUCCACUACCACAGCCAUCUCCAUCUUAUAAUGGUAUAUUUUCUGGUCUUAAAUGGUUAUGUUUUUCUGGAUGUAUGGGUAUGAAGAAGUUGUUCCCUCCUGUCUUGUUGCCAUACCUUGUAAACCUGGAAAGGAUUGAUGUUGAACAGUGUGAGAAAAUGGAGGAGAUAAUAGGUGGAGCAAGAUCGGUUGAAGAAGGGGAUAUGGGUGAAGAAAGCAGCAUCAGAAACACCGAAUUCAAACUCCCAAAGGUGGGAGCUCUGCAAUUGAGAGAUUUACCAGAACUAAAAAGCAUUUGUAAUGCAAAACUGAUUUGCGAUUCUCUCCAAGUAAUUGGAGUAUGGAAUUGUGAGAAGAUGAAGAGGAUGGGAAUUUGUCUUCCGUUACUUGAAAAUGGGCAGCCAUCUCCUCCCCCUUCUCUUAGAGUAAUAUGUAUAAAACCAAAAGAAUGGUAGGAGUCAGUAGUGGAGUGGGAGCAUCCUAACGCCAAGGAUGUCCUUCGUCCUUUCGUAAUGUUUGGACAAGAUGGGCGGUUUUGCGGGUUCUGAGCAGGCGUGGAUGAGUGCAGGGUUGCUCACGUCGAACUGGAAUAAUAAUUUAAAAUAUUAAUAAUAGGAAAUUUAAUUAUUGGUAGGCUCAAGAGAUAUGUUUACUCUACUUUGAUUAUUGUUCUUUGUUUAUAUUGCCAGUUUAUAUAUAAUGAGCACAAAUUAUCUUUUUCA